RNAcentral lists this transfer RNA (77 nucleotides) under Escherichia coli. RNAcentral's name for it is "tRNA-Met". It matches the Rfam family "tRNA". From Rfam's summary of the family: Transfer RNA (tRNA) molecules are approximately 80 nucleotides in length. RNAcentral also lists the same sequence under 11 other names. The record is from RNAcentral. Lineage: Bacteria; Pseudomonadati; Pseudomonadota; Gammaproteobacteria; Enterobacterales; Enterobacteriaceae.
CGCGGGGUGGAGCAGCCUGGUAGCUCGUCGGGCUCAUAACCCGAAGGUCGUCGGUUCAAAUCCGGCCACCGCAACCA